Long non-coding RNA from Rattus norvegicus (Norway rat), 2748 nucleotides. RefSeq lists it as uncharacterized. The record is from RefSeq and is a predicted model, not a curated record. Lineage: Eukaryota; Metazoa; Chordata; Mammalia; Rodentia; Muridae.
AGCAAGCCAGGCUGGCAUGGGGAGGAGCGUGGGUCCCCUGUCCUCCGGGCGGCAUUAUCUGGAGCUGCCUUGCCCUGCCAGAGAUAAUUGUUUAUAGCUGGAGCAGAUGGUGGGAACUUGUCACAGGGCCAAGGAGGGAGAUCUCACAAACAUGGUCAGGGGCUGUGGCCCUGGCCAGGGAAUCUCAGAAGUCUACAGGGGCUGAUUCGGCCAUAGUGGCUCUUCGAGGGAAACCGAGGCGAGGAAAGGGAGGUGACAUGCCCUGCGGUUGCAGGUUCCCAGCUCUAGCUGUGCCUGUCUCAGCCCUGUGUCCCUCAUUCCCUAGACUGAAGACCCUGUGGGUUAGUUGCCUUAGGGGAGGCGAGGUGAGCAGCGGAACACAGAAGUCCUUGCCCUCCACAAUCUGUCUUGGCACCCAAUUGGGGCUUGCCAUACUUGCGAAGGCUCUCGGGGACACUGAGGCAUGCCACCAGGCUGCGGCCUCAGGGCUGUGGACCUGCCUGCAGUCCUGUGAAUGCCAGGUGAGCAGCUCGAAGCCUGCAGCCAGACACCCUGAAGUUGGAACUGCUUCUCAGAAGAGGAAACCCAGACACCACAAAUCUCUGGACAAAGCCUGUAGCUCUGUCCUCCCCAGCCUUUGUAUCUGAGUGCAGAGUGCAGAGCCCUAAGCUGCCUUCCAGUGCCGUAAGUGUGGACACAGCGCCGUGCCUCUGCGUAACAGAACUCUGCACGUGCAAGCUCAGGUGUGGCUUGUUUGGGACUCUGGAGACUGGGGUCCUCCCUGGACAUCGCACCCACUGCCUGUUCUGCACCCUGGUUUCUCUGACAGCACAGUUACCUGUUGCUCUGGGCCAGCUGGGAGCCAGACUUGGCUGUAGCCAGUGCCAGGGAUGGAGCUGAGCAGAGGCGGUAAGGCGGAACAGGGAUGGGCUGUGAUGGGACCUUGGCAGCGUCCCAGCCCACUCUUCUGGGCACACAAAGGCCUGCUGACCAUAUGCUGCUGCUCUGAUUUGUUGGGGCGAGGGCUAGAAGCGGCUGACACACUCCACCCUACCCACCUUGGCACAAUGGGACACCCUGCAGGCAGGCUGUGCAUGUCCUUGUGCCCCAUUAGCCUCUCAGAGACCCCCCUCAGCUGGGCUAUAAGCAUCCCAGCUGCCGCAAGCCAAAGGAGUUACAACUCAGCCGCCUGCUUUGCUGCCUGAGCAUGAGGUACCCUGUGAGGGGCUAACCAGGGGAUGUCAGUAAAUGGAACCUGAGAGCAACAUCAGCUCCGGAGGCAGCAAAGGGAGGGUGGCUCUCUGCUGGCCUCGGGAGCUCCAACACACAUCCUUGUCUGCCUUGCCAAAGGCUUCUCCAUUCCACAGUAGCACUGGUGUGGACCCACCUGUGGCCCUGUGCUGACUUCCAGUCAGGACCGUCAAGUCUGUCAGCUCUUGAGGUCUGUGUCUCUGAAAAUGGGGAGCUCCCCUCUGAGGGAAGGCUGGAGAAGAGGCCUGGACUACAGCCUUCCUUCCCUUCCCUUCCCUUCCCUUCCCUUCCCUUCCCUUCCCUUCCCUUCCCUCCCUCCCUCCUUCCCUCCUUCCUUCCUUCCUUCCUUCCUUCCUUCCUUCCUUCCUUCCUUCGUUCGUUCUCCCCACCACCAUCAUGUCUUCUCCCAUCCUGCACAAACCUUCCUCGUGCCCCUUGGUAGGCCAUGAGGAUACUGAAGGGCUUCCAGAGGCUUGGAUAUUGAUGGACAUUGGGUCUAGGCUGGGAAAGAAGCUGAGGAAGGUACAAAAUAUGGGGACCUGGGAGAGAGUGGGAUCAUACACACCUGUGUACACAGUUCAUGUCCAUGACUGUUUCUAAAGCCACAUUGUCCCCUUGUGGUCGCCUGUGGUUCUGCAUCAUCUGGGUUCUCUCCCAGACCAGAAAUGAGAAAUACAAGGUGCUGAGAGCAGGCUGCCAAGGAUGCUGCUGGCCACUUGGGGCCUACAGGGCCCCAGGAAGGAAGGAGCUGGGGAGCCCCUUGCUCUAAAACAUUGUGGUUUGGACUCAGAGCCAGGGUUUCUGGCCUGGAAACCUUCACUUCCCUCAUACACCCCAGUGUUGGAAAGAAGAGGACUCAGGACCUCUCCAGAGAAGGGCCAGGGCCAACAGAGGUAGGUUAGGACCUGCUCUUCCCCGUGAUCCAGGCCUGUGUGAAGGUAUGGCAGGGCUGCCACCUCCAAGGGUUGUAGAUGAAGAGAUUAAAUACCAAUAAAGCAGAAGAAAAAUGAGUGGAUAGAAUUGAAAUUAAGGGGCUGGAGAGAUGGGUCAGUGGUUUAGAGCACUGACUGCUCUUCCAGAGGUCCUGAGUUCAAAUCCCAGCAACCACAUGAUGGCUCACAACUAUCUGUAAUGAGAUCUGAUGCCCUCUUCUGGUGUGUCUGAAGACAGCUACAGUGUACUCAUAUAAAUAAGAGGUAAUAAAACAUUUUUUAAAUAAACAAGUCUUUUAAAAAUGAAUAAAUAAAUAAAAUGGGCCAACCAAAAAGUCAGUGUAAUGCGGUUAAAUCUGGAAAGACUUAUAAAAAGGUAGCUCUCCAAGGAAAAGACAUACUCCACCAAAGUCAGGAUCCAAAGACGAAGCGUUGCCUCACACUCAGCAGACACUGGGAAAACAAUAUUUCAGUCAGGAGCCACUGCGUGAUCAGCACUGAGGAGGAAAAGACCAGAGGAGAGCUCAUGGUUAGCCCAGGGAACAUCGUGGGAUGGGGAAGAAAG